AUUGAACGCUGGCGGCAGGCUUAACACAUGCAAGUCGAGCGGGGAAGGGUAGCUUGCUACCUAACCUAGCGGCGGACGGGUGAGUAAUGCUUAGGAAUCUGCCAUUUAGUGGGGGACAACAUUCCGAAAGGAAUGCUAAUACCGCAUACGUCCUACGGGAGAAAGCAGGGGAUCUUCGGACCUUGCGCUAAAUGAUGAGCCUAAGUCGGAUUAGCUAGUUGGUGGGGUAAAGGCCUACCAAGGCGACGAUCUGUAGCGGGUCUGAGAGGAUGAUCCGCCACACUGGGACUGAGACACAGCCCAGACUCCUACGGGAGGCAGCAGUGGGGAAUAUUGGACAAUGGGCGGAAGCCUGAUCCAGCCAUGCCGCGUGUGUGAAGAAGGCCUUAUGGUUGUAAAGCACUUUAAGCGAGGAGGAGGCUACUUAGAUUAAUACUCUAGGAUAGUGGACGUUACUCGCAGAAUAAGCACCGGCUAACUCUGUGCCAGCAGCCGCAGUAA
This 501-nucleotide ribosomal RNA is filed under the name uncultured bacterium. Its description in RNAcentral is "partial 16S ribosomal RNA". It matches the Rfam family "Bacterial small subunit ribosomal RNA", at positions 30 to 523 of the family's 1533-position model. The record is from RNAcentral.